UACGGAGGAUGCGAGCGUUAUCCGGAUUUAUUGGGUUUAAAGGGUGCGUAGGCCGCGUCUUAAGUCAGCCGUCAAAGCCCGGGGCUCAACCCCGGCCAGCGGUUGAAACUGGGAUGCUCGAGAGGAAGAGAAGUAUGCGGAAUUCGCGGUGUAGCGGUGAAAUGCUUAGAUAUCGCGAAGAACUCCGAUUGCGAAGGCAGCAUACCGGCUUCUGUCUGACGCUGAGGCACGAAAGCGUGGGGAUCGAACAGG
Molecule: ribosomal RNA, 252 nt
Filed under: uncultured prokaryote
Description: partial 16S ribosomal RNA
Rfam family: Bacterial small subunit ribosomal RNA
Source: RNAcentral